Molecule: transfer RNA, 84 nt
Filed under: Candidatus Gottesmanbacteria bacterium
Lineage: Bacteria; Candidatus Gottesmaniibacteriota
Description: tRNA-Leu
Rfam family: tRNA
About the family: Transfer RNA (tRNA) molecules are approximately 80 nucleotides in length. Their secondary structure includes four short double-helical elements and three loops (D, anti-codon, and T loops). Further hydrogen bonds mediate the characteristic L-shaped molecular structure. tRNAs have two regions of fundamental functional importance: the anti-codon, which is responsible for specific mRNA codon recognition, and the 3' end, to which the tRNAs corresponding amino acid is attached (by aminoacyl-tRNA synthetases). tRNAs cope with the degeneracy of the genetic code in two manners: having more than one tRNA (with a specific anti-codon) for a particular amino acid; and 'wobble' base-pairing, i.e. permitting non-standard base-pairing at the 3rd anti-codon position.
Source: RNAcentral
GCCUAGGUGGCGGAAUUGGUAGACGCGCUAGCUUUAGGAGCUAGUGCUUGCAAAAGCUUGGGAGUUCGAGUCUCCCCCUAGGCA